GGAGUUGUGGCUGAGUGGUACAGCACUUGCCUAGCAUGUGUGAGGCACUGGGUUCAAUUCUCAGCACCA
RNAcentral lists this transfer RNA (69 nucleotides) under Ictidomys tridecemlineatus (thirteen-lined ground squirrel). RNAcentral describes it as "Spermophilus tridecemlineatus (thirteen-lined ground squirrel) tRNA". It matches the Rfam family "tRNA". From Rfam's summary of the family: Transfer RNA (tRNA) molecules are approximately 80 nucleotides in length. The record is from Rfam by way of RNAcentral. Lineage: Eukaryota; Metazoa; Chordata; Mammalia; Rodentia; Sciuridae.